RNAcentral lists this transfer RNA (72 nucleotides) under Pangasianodon hypophthalmus (striped catfish). It matches the Rfam family "tRNA". Rfam says of the family: Transfer RNA (tRNA) molecules are approximately 80 nucleotides in length. The record is from Rfam by way of RNAcentral. Lineage: Eukaryota; Metazoa; Chordata; Actinopteri; Siluriformes; Pangasiidae.
UCCCUGGAGGACUAGUGGUUAGGCCUUGGCACUAUAACCCCCGUGGCUCAGGUUCGAUUCCUGGCCAGGGAG